Molecule: ribosomal RNA, 468 nt
Filed under: uncultured bacterium
Lineage: Bacteria
Description: partial 16S ribosomal RNA
Rfam family: Bacterial small subunit ribosomal RNA
Source: RNAcentral
GACGAACGCUGGCGGCGUGCUUAACACAUGCAAGUCGAACGGAAAGGCCCUGCUUUUGUGGGGUGCUCGAGUGGCGAACGGGUGAGUAACACGUGAGUAACCUGCCCUUGACUUUGGGAUAACUUCAGGAAACUGGGGCUAAUACCGGAUAGGAGCUCCUGCUGCAUGGUGGGGGUUGGAAAGUUUCGGCGGUUGGGGAUGGACUCGCGGCUUAUCAGCUUGUUGGUGGGGUAGUGGCUUACCAAGGCUUUGACGGGUAGCCGGCCUGAGAGGGUGACCGGCCACAUUGGGACUGAGAUAGGGACCAGACUCCUACGGGAGGCAGCAGUGGGGAAUAUUGCACAAUGGGCGGAAGCCUGAUGCAGCAACGCCGCGUGCGGGAUGACGGCCUUCGGGUUGUAAACAGCUUUCGCCUGUGACGAAGCGUGAGUGACGGUAAUGGGUAAAGAAGCACCGGCUAACUACGUG